This 1133-nucleotide unclassified non-coding RNA is filed under the name Eurytemora carolleeae. Its description in RNAcentral is "uncharacterized LOC111695829". Lineage: Eukaryota; Metazoa; Arthropoda; Copepoda; Calanoida; Temoridae. The record is from RNAcentral.
AGACUAAGAGGUAGAAAAAAUGAAUAAAAUUAUUGGAGAAAAAAAGGAAUCUGAGAUCCUAAAUCCAAAUCCUCAGGAGAUUCUAGUCAUAGGAGCUGGUUUGCCCAGGACUGGGACCUUGUCCCUGAAGGUCGCCCUGACCCGGCUGUACAGUGCAAGAUGCUACCACAUGAUGGAGACCUUCAAGGGAUCCCAGGAGCAUGUUGAUCUUUGGUUGAAUGCAGCUGAUGGUAAAAACUCUGCUGAAGACUGGACAACAUUUUUUAAAAAAGAGGGAUAUAUAUCCGGAGUUGAUUAUCCCUUCUCCUUGUUCUGGAAGGAUCUGGUGACUGUGUAUCCUAAUGCUAAGGUUGUCCUGUCUACCCGUGAACCUGAGAAAUGGUAUACAUCUGUGUAUGAAUCUAUCUGGCAGGUUCAAUUAUUCAAAGAGAACUCAUGGACUGCUCAUCUUCUCUUUAAGAUGCUGGACAAAAAAAGACCAGUGAACUGGAUGGCUAAACUGAUGGAAACUAAGGGACCGGGCAUGGAUUUAUCAAUGCACGAGGCUAUCACUGCAGGACCGGAUACAGCCAAACAGUAUUUUAUAGAUUGGGAGGAGAAUGUUAAGGCCUCUAUCUCUGCCGAGAGAUUACUCGUUCACAGUGCAAAGGAGGGAUGGAAACCUCUUUGUGAUUUUCUUGGAUUUGAUAUUCCGGAUGAACCGUAUCCACGAGUCAACGAUACUGCUUCUAUACAGAAGGCUGUUCGAAUGAUUAAGUUGUUAAAUUUCGGAAUAUUCUACGUUGCUCCCGUUCUUGUAGGAGUAGCAGUCUAUUCAUGGCAGGAUUGUAUCUGGGCUGGGCUGGGCUUUCAUCUGUAAUAAACGACAUUUAACUCUCCGAGCCCAAAACAACAAACCACAACUCCUUCUUGCAGAGUAAAUGAGAGACACCAAUCUAGGAGAACAAGCGCGAAGGACGCCUAGGCCUCAUUCCACAGGAAGCAGUUGGGAACCAUUCUCCUCCACUCAGGACGGUCACAGGAACUAGAAGGAGCAAUAAUACACUUUAUUCCGGAGAUAUUACAAAGGAAAGAUCGGAAAGAAAUCAACGUGUGGAAACCAUUAUUGAGAUAAUAAAGAAUAUUAACAUUUA